CAUGUAGGCGGACUAUUAAGUCUGGUGUGAAAGCCCGGGGCUCAACCCCGGAAGUGCAUUGGAUACUGGUAGUCUUGAGUAUGGGAGAGGAAAGUGGAAUUCCGAGUGUAGGAGUGAAAUCCGUAGAUAUUCGGAGGAACACCAGUGGCGAAGGCGGCUUUCUGGACCAAUACUGACGCUGAGAUGCGAAAGCGUGGGGAGCGAACAGGAUUAGAUACCCUGGUAGUCC
This 229-nucleotide ribosomal RNA is filed under the name uncultured bacterium. RNAcentral describes it as "partial 16S ribosomal RNA". It matches the Rfam family "Bacterial small subunit ribosomal RNA", at positions 568 to 796 of the family's 1533-position model. The record is from RNAcentral.